RNAcentral lists this ribosomal RNA (392 nucleotides) under uncultured marine eukaryote. RNAcentral's name for it is "SSU rRNA". It matches the Rfam family "Eukaryotic small subunit ribosomal RNA", at positions 870 to 1262 of the family's 1831-position model. The record is from RNAcentral.
UGAUAGGGACAGUUGGGGGCAUCAGUAUUCUGAAGCGAGAGGUGAAAUUCUUGGACCUUCGGAAGACUAACAGCUGCGAAAGCGUUUGCCUAGGAUGUUCUCUUUAAUCAAGAACGAAAGUUGGGGGAUCGAAGACGAUCAGAUACCGUCGUAGUCUCAACUAUAAACUAUGCCAGCUAGGGAUUGGUGGACGUUUAUUUACGACUCCAUCAGCACCUUAUGAGAAAUCAAAGCAUUUGGGUUCCGGGGGGAGUAUGGUCGCAAGGCUGAAACUUAAAGGAAUUGACGGGAGGGCACCACCAGGAGUGGAGCCUGUGGCUUAAUUUGACUCAACACGGGAAAACUUACCAGGUCCGGACAUAGUAAGGAUUGACAGAUUGAUAGCUCUUUCU